UACUUACUUCAGAAGCAUGUAGCCUAAACUGGAGCCAUAGAGGGCAGAUUAGCAAGGUCCCUACCAAGGAUGAUAUGCAAAUUCAUGAAGCACCCCAUGCCUUU
Molecule: small nuclear RNA, 104 nt
Organism: Rattus rattus (black rat)
Lineage: Eukaryota; Metazoa; Chordata; Mammalia; Rodentia; Muridae
Source: RefSeq, a predicted model, not a curated record